UGCAUAUCAAUAAGCGGAGGAAAAGAAACUAACAAGGAUUCCCUUAGUAACGGCGAGUGAACCGGGAAGAGCUCAAAUUUGAAAUCUGGCUGUCUUCGAUAGUCCGAGUUGUAAUCUAUAGAAGCGUUUUCCGUGCUGAACUGUGUAUAAGUCCCUUGGAACAGGGUAUCAAAGAGGGUGACAAUCCCGUACUUUACACAAUCAUCAGUGCUCUGUGAUACGUUCUCUACGAGUCGAGUUGUUUGGGAAUGCAGCUCAAAAUGGGUGGUAAAUUCCAUCUAAAGCUAAAUAUUGGCGAGAGACCGAUAGCGAACAAGUACCGUGAGGGAAAGAUGAAAAGCACUUUGGAAAGAGAGUUAAACAGUACGUGAAAUUGUUAAAAGGGAAACGAUUGAAGUCAGUCGUGUUCAUUGGAUUCAGCCGGUCUUCGGUGUACUUCCUUUGAACGGGUCAACAUCAGUUUUGUCCGGUGGAUAAAGGUAGUAGGAAUGUGGCUCUUUCGGGAGUGUUAUAGCCUAUUAUCACAUGCACUGGGGGAGACUGAGGACUGCAGCUCGCCUUUUGGCCGGGGUUCGCCCACGUUCGAGCUUAGGAUGUUGACAUAAUGGCUUUAAACGACCGUCUUGAACCGGGGCCA
Molecule: ribosomal RNA, 637 nt
Filed under: Apiotrichum vadense
Lineage: Eukaryota; Fungi; Basidiomycota; Tremellomycetes; Trichosporonales; Trichosporonaceae
Description: LSU rRNA
Rfam family: Eukaryotic large subunit ribosomal RNA
Source: RNAcentral